Molecule: ribosomal RNA, 120 nt
Filed under: uncultured bacterium
Lineage: Bacteria
Description: partial 16S ribosomal RNA
Rfam family: Bacterial small subunit ribosomal RNA
Source: RNAcentral
AUUGAACGCUGGCGGCGUGCCUAACACAUGCAAGUCGAGCGGCAGCGCGGGAGCAAUCCUGGCGGCGAGCGGCGAACGGGUGAGUAAUGCUUCGGAAUCUGCCCAUGUAGUGGGGAAUAA